RNAcentral lists this ribosomal RNA (387 nucleotides) under Triticum aestivum (bread wheat). RNAcentral describes it as "partial small subunit ribosomal RNA". Lineage: Eukaryota; Viridiplantae; Streptophyta; Magnoliopsida; Poales; Poaceae. The record is from RNAcentral.
AUGGGGUGCAUUGAUAAGUGCAGAUCAGGACUUGACAGAUCUAUUUACGGUAAUCCCCCUGGAGGCGGUGGAAUUAGCUUCGUAAUGAAGCUCAAAGAGAUCGUUGAAAAACAUGAGCUCCCCAGACCCGUCUGCCUGAGAAUAAGGAAGCUUGUCUGUAAGAUGGUCAUAUCUAUGAUGAAUCCCAAAGGCAGUUAUGUCAAUGAUGGGCUGACGAGCCUGAUGGCUGCACUGUCCAGUGCUUCAGAUGACAUGUUUAUUCUUGAUGGCUACAUGGUUUUCAGACCAAGGCCUUUUAGAAGUCUUGCUUCCCUCGUGGAAGAAGCGCAGGUGCUUGUGGACAGAAACAAAGAGCUUUUCCAGAGCCAAAGUCAUGCUUCAAGCUAG